AAGCGGGAAGCGAGCCCUGAGAUGAGUCUUCCCUGAUACUUUAAGUAUCCUAAAGGGUUGUUCGAGACUAGAACGUUGAUAGGCAGGGUGUGUAAGCGUUGUGAGGCGUUGAGCUAACCUGUACUAAUUGCCCGUGAGGCUUAACCAUACAACACCCAAGGGGUUU
Molecule: ribosomal RNA, 166 nt
Filed under: Vibrio parahaemolyticus
Lineage: Bacteria; Pseudomonadati; Pseudomonadota; Gammaproteobacteria; Vibrionales; Vibrionaceae
Description: partial 23S ribosomal RNA
Rfam family: Bacterial large subunit ribosomal RNA (bases 1-148)
Source: RNAcentral